UCCUUCCCCUGAAUUCAGACACAGCAAAUGUUCUGAUCCCAUAGGAGCGCUAUCUGCGCUAAUUUUGAAAUAACGCACCACGUGAUUACGUUGCGCAGCUUAGUCACGUGGCCGCACAGCAAAAAAAAUCGCUGCAGAGCUGGGUAAAGGGGGCGGAGCAAAGUGCGUGUGCAGGAGAGGAGUCGAGCAGAGACAGCUGCUUUUUCGUGAAACGGGAGUAAAGUAGUAAGCUUACAGGAACAUAUACAACUACCUACUUUUCAAUCGAUACCUGCAUCGAUCUGCCCACCGUUGUCUCUUGGAUUGUAGCUUAAUCACAGAGUUCUCUCGUUUGUGAGCUCAUCUAAAGUUCUCAUCACGCUGAUUGAUGUCCAAGGGGUCUCCUCUCCCAUAAGUCUGAUUCUAAUUCCUACCGCGGUGAUGUUAAAUUGGGGUGAAACGUCAUCAUUACAGCUUUGACUGGCAGCUGCAGUCACGGAGAAACUUGCGUAUCUCUGUUCGGGAAUAGCAGAUAGAGCGAAGGCUCUGAGAGGAGGGCCAGCGUUUAUGCUACGAAAACAUGACCAAGUGUUUUAACCUGACAGCCUGAGGUGUUCUUCAGUAAACUGGACUACCCGACAGAAGGACCCGAGGCCCUGCUGCACUUUUUCGGAGACGAGUCUGGUGGUGCAGCAGAGGAACAAUUUCAGCCAUUUGGACUCAGCUCAGCCACUACAGUGGAAACAAUGUCUUCAACACAAAAGGACCAACAUGGAGCGAGAAGUCAGCGCUCUCAGGAGGCCG
Molecule: non-coding RNA, 783 nt
Organism: Maylandia zebra (zebra mbuna)
Lineage: Eukaryota; Metazoa; Chordata; Actinopteri; Cichliformes; Cichlidae
Source: RefSeq, a predicted model, not a curated record